Molecule: ribosomal RNA, 446 nt
Filed under: uncultured bacterium
Lineage: Bacteria
Description: bacterial SSU rRNA
Rfam family: Bacterial small subunit ribosomal RNA
Source: RNAcentral
GAUGAACGCUGGCGGCGUGCUUAACACAUGCAAGUCGAACGGGAAUUACUUUAUUGAAACUUCGGUGGAUUUAAUUUAAUUCUAGUGGCGGACGGGUGAGUAACGCGUGGGUAACCUGCCUUAUACAGGGGGAUAACAGUCAGAAAUGGCUGCUAAUACCGCAUAAGCGCACAGAGCUGCAUGGCUCAGCGUGAAAAACUCCGGUGGUAUAAGAUGGACCCGCGUUGGAUUAGCUGGUUGGUGGGGUAACGGCCCACCAAGGCGACGAUCCAUAGCCGGCCUGAGAGGGUGAACGGCCACAUUGGGACUGAGACACGGCCCAGACUCCUACGGGAGGCAGCAGUGGGGAAUAUUGCACAAUGGGGGAAACCCUGAUGCAGCGACGCCGCGUGAAGGAAGAAGUAUCUCGGUAUGUAAACUUCUAUCAGCAGGGAAGAUAGUGACGG